CUCCUUUCAGGAAGUCAUUUCACCCACUGGAGCAGCUGUAUUCAGGCAUGGCCAAGUCCAUGCUAGCUAGAUUCAUUAUCUGGAUUCAUGCCAGCCAGAGCUCCAACUGGUCUAGCCCCACAAGCACCUGGGUCUGGAUUCUGGCUGAUUUUCCUCUGUGGUCCAUUAUGACAUCACAAGCAGCCAGAAGAGAGUGGGCCAAAGGAGGGAGAUCAGGUACAUAGCUGUAAGGUAGCUUCAUCUAGCUUGUGUCCACUAGACUUGGGAAGCUUUCCUUUGAGGGCUGGAUAAGAGCACCUUCAUGAGAACCUAUUUGCAGGAGGACAGAAGUGGCUGAGCAGUGCAGCUAUGUAAGUCAACAGGCUGAGUUCCCUGAUUGGUGCUUCCAUCUAUUGCUAUUGUCCAUCUUGCCCAAGGAUCAAACAUCAGGUUCAAGCCCAGCCCACUUAUUAGUUAAGAUGGGCAUUUGUCCAGAAUAUAUGAUCUAUGGCAUUUCAAAUUCUGCAGAAGGGUGUGUAUGUGUCAAAUAGGCUGAUAGAGCCACAACUGAAUAUGGGGUCUUCUGUGUGCAAGACAAGUGCUCUUAGCUUCUGAGCUGCUUCUCAGAUUUAAUUGAGAAGUUUUAAAAUGUGAAGUAAUUGCAGCCAUUCAUUUAAUCCCUUUGGUUAACCUGUGUUGGUCUCCAACACUCAACUAGACAUGCCCUGGUCAAUUUAAGCUGUGUCUCAUGCUAAGGCAGCCAUCACAUACUUGGGAGUAAAUUCCAAGGAGCACAGCAAGGUUUACUACCCAAGAAACUUGUGCAACAUUGAGCUGCAUGAACACAAUACAGCUAUCAAUUAUGGGGAUGCAAGUUCGAUUCAUUCAAGCAGCAAAAGGGUUGCAGACACGAUAGAGCAGCCAGAGAAAUCCUUUUGGCACAUCUGAAGCAAAACACUUAAGAAUCAAGGAGGCCAAGAUACUUUCCAUUGGCUUGCUUAGUAAGCCCAUGUUUUAACUCCAUGUGCUAACACAGUUAAAACUACCCCAUUAUAUGAUUCCAUUUUGUCCUGGUUCAUGAUCCAACCCAAAGGUUGCACUUUUAAGUCGUAUUUAUUUCUGUGGCAGAGUGCUCUGCUUGCUUAGUUGGGACUGAGCCCCACUGAACUUGGCAAGACUUACUUCUUGGUAAACGUACAUGGGAUUGGAAGUUAGAUGUACUUAACUUUGGCUGGAUCAGGUCCAUGGCUCUGUUUUAUGGCUUUGCUUAGGCUCUGCAGCAGCCGAGCUAAUUCAUCAGGUGGUUAUUUCAUGUGAAAUACCUGCAUUUGCUGAUAAAAACCUGAGCUAGACAAAUCAGUUGUUUCCAGUAAAGUGUGCUGGCUGUGUUGAUAGCUAUUUCAUGAUAAAUUGAGGGGUGUGGUGUGCUUUUUAAAAAAGAAAAAAUGAUGAAUGACACUAUUUGUUUUUCUGGAUUUGAAAAGGAAUCCACAUUUUGCUGCCUCAGCAGCAGUUUGAGAAGCCAAGAUUUGUGGUGACUGUUCAGUUAGGAGUAUGACGGGAUCAGCAGAUCCUAGAUUUCAGCCACUUUGGUCAUUAAAUCAUUGUUCCAUUCCUUUUGCUCACCCACCUGCUGCCACCUCUGUCUCUCACUUCAGUCUUACUGUACCAAUUCAGUUCACCUGCUCAUCAGUGUGGCCACAAAAGAGUCAGGUACAAGAUAUUUUAGUAACCUCCCCAGAGUAACAACAGAAUAAAUCCAGCAACUGGCAUGUCUCCGGCCUAGGUCUUGCCCCACCACCUAUUGCCCGACCCUUUUCAUUGAAGGUUCUAGUGAAAAACAAAAAAAAUAAUAAGAUCAUGGCCACUGUUCACAUCACCUCCUGGCAAAUAGAAGGGGAAGAAAUGGAGACAGUGAAAGAUUUUACUUUCUUGGGCUCCAUGAUCAGUGCAGAUGGUGACAGCAGUCACGAAAUUAAAAGACGCCUGCUGUCACAGUCCGGCCUACAGGUGAUCGAAGUCCAGGCUGAGGAUGUCGGGACCGGGGGCAGGAUGGCGGGGUGGGAGCAGGAACGAGAGUCCAGAAGCCAGGGGUCCGAGGGUCAGGAAGCAGGGAGUCAUGAAGUCAAGGGUCUGAGGGCCAAGAAGCAAGAAGCCAAACACAGCAAGGCAGGAAAUGUGUUGCUGUGGCAAAGAGCCGAAGGGAAAUGCUGACGUUUUAUCCCUUCCCAGCUCUAGCCACCAGGCACAGUGAGUUACCAAUUGGCCUCACCUGUGCCUCUCCAGAACAAACUUAGGAAGGCCCCAGUCCUGCGAAGUCCUACUGGUCACAGGGCCCGGCUCCUGCACGCACUCCUGACACCUGCUCCUUGGGAGAAAAGCAAUGACAAACCUAGAGAGCAUCUUAAAAAGCAGAGACAUCACCUUGCCAACAAAGGUCCAUAUCGUUAAAGCUAUGGUUUUCCCAGUCGCUGAAGAAUGGAUGCUUUUGAAUUAUGGUGCUGGAGGAGACUCUUGAGAGUCCCAUGGACUGCAAGGAGAUCAAACCUCUCCAUUCUUAAGGAAAUCAGCCCUGAGUGCUCACUGGAAGGACAGAUUCUGAAGCUGAGGCUCCAAUACUUUGGCCACCUCAUGAAAAGAGAAGACUCCCUGAAAAAGACCCUGAUGCUGGGAAAGAUUGAGGGCACUAGGAGAAGGGGACGACAGAGGACGAGAUGGUUGGACAGUGUUCUCAAAGCUACCAAUAUGAGUUUGACCAAACUGCGGGAGGCAGUGGAAGACAGGAGUGCCUGGCGUGCUCUGGUCCAUGGGGUCACAAAGAGUCGGACAUGACUAAACAACAACAAAGUAUGUAUUGUAGUAUUUUAUGCAUUGUGACAUUGUUAUUUUUAUUGAUUAUGGUUUAGUAAUUUAUUGCAAUUAAGAGUGAAUUUUUGUUUAAUUGUUAUUUGCUGCUAUUUAAUUUUAUUGUGUACUAUUAUGUUUAAUGGAUUAUUCAACAUUAUUUGAUAAAAGUUG
Molecule: long non-coding RNA, 2997 nt
Filed under: Podarcis lilfordi (Lilford's wall lizard)
Lineage: Eukaryota; Metazoa; Chordata; Lepidosauria; Squamata; Lacertidae
Source: RNAcentral